GAGAGAAGUUACAAGGGCGAACGGAGGAUGCCUUGGCUUCUGGCGGCGAGGAAGGACGUGGUAAGCUGCGAAAAGGUGCGGGGAUCUGCAAACAGGACUUGAUCCGCACAUAUCCGAAUGGGGCAACCCGUGUGAAUGAAGUUCACACACUCUAUAAGAGAGCCAACGCAGGGAACUGAAACAUCUCAAUACCUGCAGGAAAAGAAAGAAAUAAUCGAUUUCGCUAGUAGUGGCGAGCGAACGCGAAAGAGCCUAAACCAAAGUUGUUACGGCAAUUUUGGGGUUGUAGGGAUUACGCCAGUUAUCAAGUAUAAUAAAGAAGAAAGACCUGGAAAGGUCUCCCAUAGAGGGUGAUAGGCCCGUAUUUGUAAGAUUAUGCUAGAAACAGUAAUUACCUGAGUAGGGCGGGACACGAGGAAUCCUGUCUGAAUCUACGGGGCCCAUCCCGUAAGGCUAAAUACGACCAGAAGACCGAUAGUGAACCAGUACUGUGAAGGAAAGGUGAAAAGAACCCCGAACAGGGGAGUGCAAUAGACCCUGAAACCGUUCGUCUACAAGCGGUCGGAGCAGGCAAGACCUGCGACGGCGUGCCUUUUGGAUAAUGAGCCUACGAGUUGUUUCACACUAGCGAGGUUAAGUUCUUCAGGAACGUAAGCCGAAGCGAGAGCGAGUCUGACAAGGGCGUAUAGUUAGUGUGAACAGACGCGAAACCUAGUGAUCUACCCUUGACCAGGUUGAAGGAGCCGUGACAGGCUUUGGAGGACCGAACCGGUUUCCGUUGAAAAGGAUUCGGAUGAGUUGAGGGUAGGGGUGAAAGGCUAAUCAAACUGGGAGAUAGCUCGUACUCCCCGAAAUGUCUUUAGGGACAGCCUCAUAAUAGCUUAACGGAGGUAGAGCGACUGAUAGGAUGCGAGGGCUUCAUCGCCUAUCAAUUCCUGACAAACUCCGAAUGCCGUUAAGUGUUUUAUGGGAGUGAGUCGCCGGGUGCUAAUGUCCGGUGGCGAGAGGGAAAGAGCCCAGACCAACAGUUAAGGCCCCGAAAUGUAUGUUAAGUUGAAAGAACGAGGUGGCAACGCAGAGACAGCUAGGAUGUUAGCUUGGAAGCAGCUAUUCAUUUAAAGAGUGCGUAACAGCUCACUAGUCGAGCGCAGCUGCGUGGAUGAUAAACGGGCAUCAAACAUACUGCCGAAACUAUGGACUUUGUUAAAAGUGGUAGGGGAGCAUUCUAACCGGCGCAGAAGGUGAAUCGUAAGGUUUGCUGGAGCGAUUAGAAAAGAAAAUGUAGGCAUAAGUAACGACAAUGCAGGCGAGAAACCUGCACACCGAAAACCCAAGGUUUCCUGAACAACGUUAAUCGGAUCAGGGUAAGUCGGGACCUAAGGGGAAUCUGAAAAGAGGACUCGAUGGACAAACGGUUAAUAUUCCGUUACCUGUAUAUCAUAGUUAGGAGAGACGGAGAGGUGACACGCACGCGUGCUGACGGAAUAGCACGUUGAAGGACGUAGGUAUAGGACUUUGUUAAGAGCUGGUCCUGCUGAUGUCUGACAGUACAGCAAUACUUCGGUAGCGCUGAUAGUUGCGGUAAACGGACUUCCAAGAAAAUCUUCGAAGCGUUAAUGGUAUAUCAGCCCGUACCGUAAACCGACACAGGUGGGUGAGGAGAGAAUCCUCAGGUGCUCGAGUGAAUCAUGGCUAAGGAAUUCGGCAAGUUUACCCCGUAACUUCGGGAUAAGGGGACCCUGCUAAGCAGGGCGCAGAGAAAUGGCCCAGGCGACUGUUUAACAAAAACACAUGGCUUUGCAAAAUCGUAAGAUGAAGAAUAAGGCCUGACACCUGCCCGGUGCCGGAAGGUUAAGAGGAGAU
This 1863-nucleotide ribosomal RNA is filed under the name Bacteroidales bacterium. RNAcentral's name for it is "partial 23S ribosomal RNA". It matches the Rfam family "Bacterial large subunit ribosomal RNA", at positions 1 to 1888 of the family's 2925-position model. The record is from RNAcentral. Lineage: Bacteria; Pseudomonadati; Bacteroidota; Bacteroidia; Bacteroidales.